This is a long non-coding RNA of Alligator mississippiensis (American alligator), 595 nucleotides long. RefSeq lists it as uncharacterized. The transcript has 2 exons. The record is from RefSeq and is a predicted model, not a curated record. NCBI's taxonomy places the organism in Eukaryota, Metazoa, Chordata, Crocodylia, Alligatoridae.
UUGGCUGCUAUGUCAAGUGUCUUUUCCACCUCCUGCAGUCCUUGGGGCAGAUCUGCUAGGUACGGAGGUCUCUGAUAUGAUCUGGAGAAGCUCCCAGGUUUUGGGUGUUUCUCCAAAUCAAAACUUUUAAAACUUGAAACCUUUUGAUGUUUGCUGAUCAUUAAUCUUUGCCAAGAUAAGACGUAAUGGAAUAUGCUUUGCUGAACCCACAUCAGACAGGCAGCAGAAACAGCGAUUCGUACUUGCGGCACUCCACCAUUUACACCCAUGUUAUUACUUACGGCACAGGAUCCUCACGCUUAUGGCGCUCCAGGGAAAUUUAAAAUGAGAAAAAGAGGGCAGCAAAACAAACAUCCCUGGAUCAGUUUCUCAAAAAGCCAUCAAGCGGCCCUAAGUCUCCCCAAAAUCUUCCCAAAGAAGCCCUUCUGAAUUCCAUGACCCUGAUGACAGUGUUCCUUCACCUUCUGAUUAAAUACAAUUUCAUGUGAUUAUUUACUGUAUUGCCUUGUUUAAUCGAUUUGUAUACAGUACACUUUAGAAAGCAUUGUACUGUACAGUGUAUAUCAUUUAUAGUUGAUUAAAUAGUUGAUUUAAA